This 80-nucleotide transfer RNA is filed under the name Rattus norvegicus (Norway rat). It matches the Rfam family "tRNA". Rfam says of the family: Transfer RNA (tRNA) molecules are approximately 80 nucleotides in length. Their secondary structure includes four short double-helical elements and three loops (D, anti-codon, and T loops). Lineage: Eukaryota; Metazoa; Chordata; Mammalia; Rodentia; Muridae. The record is from Rfam by way of RNAcentral.
GGGGAUUUAGCUCAGUGGUAGAGCGCUUGCCUAGCAAAAGCAAGGCCUUAGCAAGGCCCUGGGUUCGGUCCCCAGCUCCG